Transfer RNA from Moniliophthora roreri MCA 2997, 98 nucleotides. It matches the Rfam family "tRNA". From Rfam's summary of the family: Transfer RNA (tRNA) molecules are approximately 80 nucleotides in length. NCBI's taxonomy places the organism in Eukaryota, Fungi, Basidiomycota, Agaricomycetes, Agaricales, Marasmiaceae. The record is from Rfam.
GGUGCUAUAGUGUAGUGGUCAUCACUCGGGAUUUUGAUUGGAAACUCCAUAGCAUAUAUCACCUUCCCGAAACCCAGGUUCGAACCCUGGUAGCACCU